This 6820-nucleotide long non-coding RNA is filed under the name Malus domestica (apple). RNAcentral's name for it is "long non-coding RNA (MDOM_LNC017051)". The record is from RNAcentral. Lineage: Eukaryota; Viridiplantae; Streptophyta; Magnoliopsida; Rosales; Rosaceae.
UUUUUUUUUUUUUAAUCAAUGUUUGACAUACCUGUGGCUUCUUAGAUGUGUUCUUAUUUGUUGAUAAUUUAAAAUGGAUUCUGUCUACAAGUAAUGAAACAUGAUUUUUUUUUUUUUUAAUCGGGAUUGCUCUAUGAAGCAUGGAUAACAACAACAACAACAAAGCCUUUUCCCACUAAGUGGGGUCGGCUAUAUGAAUCCUAGAACACUAUUGCGCUCGGUUUUGUGUCAUGUCCUCUGUUAGAUCCAAGUACUCUUAAGUCUUUUCUUAGGGUCUCUUCCAAAGUUUUCCUAGGUCUUCCUCUACCCCUUCGGCCCCGAACCUCUGUUCCGUAGUCACAUCUUCGAAUCGGAGCGUCAGUAGGCCUUCUUUGCACAUAUCCAAACCACCGUAACCGAUUUUCUCUCAUCUUUCCUUCAACUUCGGCUACUCCUACUUUACCUCGGAUAUCCUCAUUCACAAUCUUAUCCUUUCUCGUGUGCCCACACAUCCCACAAAGCAUCCUUAUCUCCGCUACACCCAUUUUGUGUACGUGUUGAUGCUUCACCGCCCAACAUUCUGUGCCAUACAACAUCGCUGGCCUUAUUGCCGUCCUAUAAAAUUUUCCCUUGAGCUACAGUGACCUACGACGGUCACACAACACGCCGGAUGCACUCUUACACUUCAUCCAUCCAGCUUGUAUUCUAUGGUUGAGAUCUCCAUCUAAUUCUCCGUUCUCUUGCAAGAUAGAUCCUAGGUAGCGAAAACGGUCGCUUUUUGUGAUCGUCGCUAGAUUGCUCCGGUCAUUAGUGUGGAUAAGUAUAUAAAUGGAUAGAGAUAGGAAAGCAAACACCAGAUGUACGUGGUUCACCCAUAUUGGCUACGUCCACGAAAUAGAGGAGUUCUCAUUAAUUGUGAAGGGUUUACACAAGUACAUAGGUUCAAGCUCUCUUUUAGUGAGUACUAGUGAAUGAUUUAGUACAAAUGACAUUAGGAAAUAUUGUGGGAGAAUGAUCUCGUAAUCACGAAACUUCUAAGUUCCGGAGUGUGGUAUCGUCUUGACUUGCCUUAUCUGUCUCGUAGGUAGAUGUGGCAUCUUCUCUGGAAGUACUCUUCCUCCAUCCAGGGGUGGUAUCUUUAACUAGUGGAGAUGCACAAGGUAAUGUAUCAAUUUCACUUGAAGCUUACUUGUAGUUUCAGGCUUGGUCAAGUGCGAUACAAACCAUGUAGUAGGAGUCCUCCAAGUCGCCGAGCUAGGGGAUCUGCUGAAAGAGGUGACAGACAAGGUAAGCAAUCAGAGCUUCAAGCAAUCAGUCCCAGAUCAGAACUUUGAUUUCGAGUUCCGGCUGAUUGUUCACAUUCUCCCUAUCUUGCAGGCAACAUGAAGGAUAAAGAGAAGAAAAAUGAGAAGAGAUGAUAUGGGAUACUUUUGCUUUUGAAGAAGUUACUUUCCACAGGCUUAUUCUUGAACUGGGCUGGAGGGUUUUCUGGUUUCCUCCAGAGUAUAAGGCCGACUGAAGAAUUUGAGGGUCAAAACAAGUCCAUCAAAUCUAUAGUACGUUCGACCCUGCUGAUAUGGGAUACUUUUGCUUUUGACAGAGUAGUGGAUGUAUCGGCACGUGUGCUGUUACGCUUGUCUCCACAUGCUUCCUUGUAUCCUUCUCACUUGCCCUAUAUGUUCCUCAGGCAGAUGCGGUAUCUUCCCUGGAAGCAUAAGAUGUUGAAGAUGAGUACUCGAGAGCAAUGCCAGGUAAGUAAUCAAGUAAGGGGUUCCAGGCAGUCAGUUCCUGACUGGAAGCUUAAUUCCAAGUGCUGACUGAUUGCUCUCUUUCUCCUUGUCUUGCAGGUAAGAACAAGGCCAAAGGAAAAGACAGGGAAAAAAACAUGAUAUGGGAUACUCUUGCUUUUAACCCUGAUGAUAUGAGAUAUUCUUGCUCUAGUAUAGCUUGUUUGCAGAGGUAUUAUCGGGGGGAAAGAAAGCUGAAUAUUUCGAAAGGCUUCUUUGGGAGUGCCCUCUCAGAUAUGAGGAAGGGUUGAGCAUUUUUGCAGGUCUGCCUGUCUGUUGGGGAUGGAGGUCAACAUAUAUAGGAGUCUCCCUAACAACAAGUAGUAAUGCUAUUCCUUUACCCUGCUUGGUCAUAACACGGUAGUGGGAGCUGCCAGCUUCACAUGUUUUAACUCUGUCAGAGCACUUUGAAAAAGUGGUCUGUGGUAUCUGGAAAGCUGAUGUUGCGUGUAAAGAUUACAGACAAGCUUUAUCCAAGGAGAUCCGGCUCUUGAAGUUGGGAAAGUGGUGCCUCUUCGGUUUUCGAACAAGCAAUCCUGUCAGAGAUCUGGCUCUCGAGAUUCGGAGAACGAUGCCUUUUCGAUUUUUGAGAAAGCAAUCCUGCUAGGGGUCUGGCUCUCGAGAUUCGGAGAGCGGUGUCUCUUCGAUUUCUGAAGCUCUGUCGAGUGCAGAUUUUUAUAGAGGCUGGCAUUAAGUUCCAAAGCACACUUGAAUCUCCACCAGUAGAAGCUCCAUUCUUGCACUUCUAAGAUCUUGAUUUGUCCGACCUCUUCUCUCUUCAACACCUUUGAAAAUGUCUAGCCCCUUCGACCGUCGUUUUGACUUGAACCUUGUUGAAGAGGCAGCCACGCCUUCUCCAGACAACAUAUGGCGUCCAUCAUUCGUCUCCCCUACUGGUCCUCUUACCGUUGGGGAUUCCGUGAUGAAGAAUGAUAUGACCGCUGCGGUAGUGGCCAGGAACCUUCUCACUCCCAAAGAUAACAGACUACUUUCCAAACGGUCUGAUGAGUUGGCUGUUAAGGAUUCUCUGGCUCUCAGUGUUCAGUGUGCAGGUUCUGUGUCUAACAUGGCCCAACGCCUAUUUGCUCGAACCCGCCAAGUUGAAUCAUUGGCGGCUGAAGUGAUGAGUCUCAAACAGGAGAUUAGAGGGCUCAAGCAUGAGAAUAAACAGUUGCACCGGCUCGCACAUGAUUAUGCUACAAACAUGAAGAGGAAGCUUGACCAGAUGAAGGAAUCUGAUGGUCAGGUUUUACUUGAUCAUCAGAGAUUUGUGGGUUUGUUCCAAAGGCAUUUAUUGCCUUCGUCUUCUGGGGCUGUACCGCGUAAUGAAGAUCCAAAUGAUCAACCUCUGCUGCCUCCUCCUUCUAGGGUUCUGUCUAGUACUGAGGCUCCAAAUGAUCCCCCUCCAGUGCCUGCUCUUUCUGGGGCUCUACCAACUGCUGAGACUUCUCCUAAGCAACAUUUGUGAAGGCUCCCUCUUGUUUGUUUAUUUUGACUCAUGUAUAUGUACAUAUUUGUGACUUAUCGGGGAUAUCAAUAAAUAGUUUUUCUUCAUUUCAACGUAUUGUGUUAAAUACACCAAAGCCUUAUUCGCUAAGUUCUCUGAAUUUUCUUUUGUUGAAGCUUGUAUGUUGAAGCUUUGUGAGUGGAGCAUGUAGGUUGAGGUAGUAUUCCCUUAAUUUCCCGAGUGAGGAAAACUUCUCGGUUGGAGGCUUGGAAAAUCCAAGUCACUGAGUGGGAUCGGCUAUAUGAAUCUUUGAACGCCAUUGUGCUCGGUCCUGUGUCAUGUCCUUCGUUAGAUCCAAGUACUCUAAGUCUUUUCUUAGAGUCUCUUCCAAAAUUUUCCUAGGUCUUCCUCUACCCCUUCGGCCCUGAACCUCUGUCCCAUAGUCGCAUCUUCUAAUCGGAGCGUCAGUAGGCCUUCUUUGCACAUGUCCAAACCACCGUAACCGAUUUUUUCUCUCCUUCAAUUUAGGCUACUCCUACUUUACCCCGGAUAUCCUCAUUCCUAAUCUUAUCCUUUCUUGUGUGCCCACACAUCCAACGAAGCAUCCUCAUCUCCGCUACACCCAUUUUGUGUACGUGUUGAUGCUUCACCGCCCAACAUUCUGUGCCAUACAGCAUCGCCGACCUUAUUGCCGUCCUAUAAAAAUUUCCCUUGAGCUUCAGUGGCAUACGGCGGUCACACAACACGCCGGAUGCACUCUUCCACUUCAUUCAUCCAGCUUGUAUUCUAUGGUUGAGAUCUCCAUCUAAUUCUCCGUUCUUUUGCAAGAUAGAUCCUAGGUAACGAAAACGAUCGCUCUUUGGUAUUUCUUGAUCUUCGAUCCUCACCCCUAACUCAUUUUGGCCUCCAUUUGCACUGAACUUGCACUCCAUAUAUUCUGUCUUUGAUCGGCUUAGGCGAAGACCUUUAGAUUCCAACACUUCUCUCUAAAGGUUAAGCUUUGCAUUUACCCCUUCCUGAGUUUCAUCUAUCAACACUAUAUCGUCUGCGAAAAGCAUACACCAAGGAAUAUCAUCUUGAAUAUGUCCUGUUAACUCAUCCAUUACCAACGCAAAAAGGUAAGGACUUAAGGAUGAGCCUUGAUGUAAUCCUACAGUUAUGGGAAAGCUUUCGGUUUGUCUUUCAUGAGUUCUUACGGCAGUCUUUGCUCCUUCAUACAUAUCCUUUAUAGCUUGGAUAUAUGCUACUCGUACUCCUUUCUUCUCUAAAAUCCUUUAAAGAAUGUCUCUUGGGACCCUAUCAUACGCUUUUUCCAAAUCUAUAAAGACCAUGUGUAAAUCCUUUUUCCCAUCUCUAUAUCUUUCCAUCAAUCUUCGUAAAAGAUAGAUUGCCUCCAUGGUUGAGCGCCCUGGCAUGAACCCGAAUUGGUUGUCCGAAACCCGUGUCUCUUGCCUCAAUCUAUGCUCAAUGACUCUCUCCCAGAGCUUCAUUGUAUGACUCAUUAGCUUAAUACCCCUAUAGUUCAUGCAAUUUUGUACGUCACCCUUAUUCUUGUAGAUAGGCAUCAAAGUGCUCGUUCGCCACUCAUUUGGCAUCUUCUUCGUUUUCAAAAUCCUAUUGAAAAGGUCAGUGAGCCAUGUUAUACCUGUCUCUCCCAAAACUUUCCACACUUCGAUUGGUAUAUCGUCUGGGCCUACUGCUUUUCUAUGCUUCAUCUUCUUCAAAGCUACAACCACUUCUUCCUUCCGGAUUCGACGAUAAAAAGAGUAGUUUCUACACUCUUCUGAGUUACUCAACUCCCCUAAAGAAGCACUCCUUUCAUGUCCUUCAUUGAAAAGAUUAUGAAAAUAACCUCUCCAUCUAUCUUUAACCGCGUUCUCUGUAGCAAGAACCUUUCCAUCCUCAUCCUUGAUGCACCUCACUUGGUUUAGGUCCCUUGUCUUCUUUUCCCUUGCUCUAGCUAGUUUAUAGAUAUCCAACUCUCCUUCUUUGGUAUCUAGUCGCUUAUACAUAUCGUCAUAAGCCGCUAACUUAGCUUCUCUCACAGCUUUCUUCGCCUCUUGCUUCGCUUUUUUAUACCUUUCACCAUUUUCAUCGGUCCUAUCCUUGUAUAAGGCUUUACAACAUUCCUUCUUAGCCUUCACCUUUGUUUGUACCUCCUCAUUCCACCACCAAGAUUCCUUUUGGUGUGGGGCAAAGCCCUUGGACUCUCCUAAUACCUCUUUUGCUACUUUUCGGAUACAACUAGCCAUGGAAUUCCACAUUUGGCUAGCUUCCCCCUCUAUCCCACACACUGGGUGAUUACUUUCUCUUUGAAAAUGACUUGUUUUUCUUCUUUUAGAUUCCACCAUCUAGUCCUUGGGCACUUCCAAGUCUUGUUCUUUUUUCUCACUCUUUUGAAAUGUACAUCCAUCACCAACAAGCGAUGUUGAUUAGCCACGCUCUCUCCUGGUAUAACUUUGCAAUCCUUACAAGUUAUACGAUCCCCUUUCCUCAUUAGAAGAAAAUCUAUUUGUGUUUUUUACGACCCACUCUUGUAGGUAAUCACAUGUUCUUCUCUCUUCUUAAAGAAGGUGUUGGCUAAGAAGAGAUCAUAUGCCAUUGCAAAAUCCAAGAUAGCUUCCCCAUCCUCGUUUCUCUCCCCAAAACCAUGGCCACCAUGAAAACCUCCAUAGUUGCCUGUCUCCCUGCCCACGUGUCCAUUUAAAUCUCCUCCUAUAAAUAACUUCUCCGUCUGAGCAAUUCCUUGCACCAAGUCUCCAAGGUCUUCCCAAAAUUUCUCUUUCGAACUCAUAUCCAACCCUACUUGAGGUGCGUACGCACUAAUCACAUUGAUAAGUUCUUGUCCUAUUACAAUCUUGAUUGCCAUGAUUCUAUCUCCUACCCUCUUGACAUCUACAACAUCUUGUGUCAAGGUCUUGUCCACGAUGAUGCCAACACCGUUUCUCGUUCUAUUUGUGCCCGAGUACCAAAGUUUAAACCCUGAGUUUUCUAGAUCCUUUGCCUUAAGACCAACCCACUUAGUUUCUUGUAGACACAUAAUAUUUAUCAUUCUCCUCACCAUAACUUCCACUACUUCCUUAGAUUUUCCCGUUAAGGUUCCUAUAUUCCACGUUCCUAAACGCAUUCUACUCUCCUGAACUCUACCCUUCUGUCCUAGCUUCUUCACCCUCCCCCGUCCAAUGGAAUCAAAGUACUUCUUUUGUGUGUCCCGUGUAAAGUUGAUAGGUGCAUAUGCUCCCAAACAACUUUGAGUGGAGUCGUUCGAAAAGAAGUUUCUAUGGCCCCCUUGCUCAUUUAACACUGCAUCCGGGUGCCUAUGGAGAUACAGUGACCCUUGCUUACUUAUCACUGUGCUCGGGCCACACAGCGCACCACUUACGGGUGACGCCCUAGCUUUAGCGCGAUUUCGUCUAUGAAGCAUGGAUAAAGGCAUGAAAUUUGCUGUGAUACAAGGACAUAUUGAAGUGGCUAAUCUUGAAAACAUGGACAUAUUGAAGUGGGUAAUCUUUUAAACAUGGUUAUUAAUCAUAGGACAUGGGGUUAAAUAAAUAUUUCAAAUCAGGUAUUUUUGUUUUGAUAUUUAGUAGUUAGUUGAUAUAUCAAC